This is a non-coding RNA of Anolis sagrei ordinatus, 388 nucleotides long. The record is from the annotation of a RefSeq genome assembly. NCBI's taxonomy places the organism in Eukaryota, Metazoa, Chordata, Lepidosauria, Squamata, Anolidae.
CUUUUGCUUCUGGAAGAUCUGCUUAUUCAUUCUCAACACAAUGGCCUGGGCCCUCCUUCUCUUUUCAAUCCUGGUCGCCUUUGAGCCCAGUUUCCAGCAACUGCAGACCUUGAAGGACCCGGAAUCGGUGGCCGAAGGGGGGACGGUCACCCUGUCUUGCAGGUACAAUAGUGGAAACAUUGGGGAUGGCAACUAUCCUUGGUGGACCCAGCAUGUGUCUGGGAGUAAACCUCGGCAGGUGAUGCAUAGCACCAGCACCCGGCCCUCGGGGGUCCCGGCCCGUUUUUCGGGAUCGAGGUCUGGAAAUGUGAUGUCCCUGACCAUCACAGGGGCCCUGGUGGAAGAUGAAGCCAUGUAUUACUGUGCUGUAUGGACAGGGAGUGAGUAA